RNA transcript from Prunus avium (sweet cherry), 1934 nucleotides. It is a transcript of the gene named LUC7 N terminus domain-containing protein, with no coding region annotated. NCBI's taxonomy places the organism in Eukaryota, Viridiplantae, Streptophyta, Magnoliopsida, Rosales, Rosaceae. The record is from RefSeq and is a predicted model, not a curated record.
UGAAGAACCAAAUUAUUACCAGUAGUACCCUCCACAUGUGCCACCACCACCUCCAAACUUACCCCUUUCUUCUCUCUCUUUCUCAGAUCGUUCUAGUCCUUCCUUGGUGAGCAAAACCCUAGAUGGCCUAAAAGCAAUUGGACCAAUUUCACUGCCCAGUCCUCACCACCCUCACUGAUUCCUCUGGUGCGAACCCUUCUGAAUUUUUUCUCUCCAACCCAAACCAGUCUAAUUAUUAUCUUUCUUAAUUUCAAAUCACCACUUCACCAUAGUCAUGGACGCUCAGAGAGCUCUGCUAGACGAACUUAUGGGCGCAGCUCGUAACUUGACGGAGGAAGAGAGAAAGGGGUACAAGGAAAUUACUUGGGAUGAUAAGGAGGUCUGUGGAGCCUAUAUGGUUCGAUUUUGUCCUCACGAUCUGUUCAUCAAUACCCGAAGUGAUCUAGGACCCUGCCCUAAAAUUCAUGACCCAAAGUUGAAAGAAAGUUUUGAGGAGUCCCCAAGGCAUGAUGCAUAUGUGCCCAAGUUUGAAGCUGAACUGGCUCAGUUUUGUGAGAAAUUGGUGAUGGAUUUAGAUAGAAGAGUAAAGCGUGGGCGAGAACGCCUUGCUCAGGAGGUUGAACCUGCACCGGCACCGCCACUGUCAGCAGAAAAGUCUGAACAGUUAUCUGUUCUGGAGGAAAAGAUAAAGAACUUGCUGGAACAAGUUGAGACCCUUGGUGAAGCUGGAAAGGUGGAUGAAGCUGAAGCACUCAUGAGAAAGGUGGAUAUGCUUAAUUCUGAGAAGACAGCCUUGGCUCAACACCCUCAGAAUGAUAAAGUGUUGAUGCUUGCACAGGAGAAAAAAAUGGCACUCUGCGAGAUAUGUGGUUCAUUUCUUGUGGCCAAUGAUGCUUUAGAGAGGACUCAGUCUCAUGUUACAGGGAAGCAGCAUAUUGGUUAUGGCAUGGUCCGAGAUUUUAUCGCUGAGUACAAGGAAACUAAGGAGAAGGCAAGAGAAGAAGAAAGGUUAGCAAGGGAGAAAGAAGCAGAAGAACGGAGGAAACAGAGGGAGAAGGAAAAUGAGAGUAGAAGGAGAAGUAAUUCAAGUGAUAGGGACAGGUAUCGUGAUAGGGAUCGUGACAGGGAGCGGGACAGAUAUCGAGAACGCGAUUCAGAUCGUGAAAGGUCUAGAGAGUGGAAUGGCAGAGGUAGUCGGGAUGGAGGGAGAGGGGCGGAUUGGAGGUCCAGGAAUGGAAGAGAUGGGGGCAGGGAUAGGUACCGUGAUCGAAGCAGGUCACGUUCCCCUGUUAGGCAUAGUCACAGGAGGUCACCUAGAAGUCCAGUUCGCCCAUAUUAAUGAAUUGUGUAGAUAGAUGUCUGAGCUUUGAAAUUUUUUGAGCUUUGUUGAGACUAUACCAUCUCCCUUUCAUCGAUAUUAUAAGCGGAGAAAAGGGUUGAGAGUCUCACAUCCCCUUCUGUUGGGAAGUCAUUGUUGGCUACUUUCUGUGUUGUCACAUAUUUAAGACAUCAGACCCGAAAAUGAAUGCAUGAUUGAUCCACCGCAGCUGGAAGAUGAUGGUUUUUAAUCAUUUUUGAGGUAACAUAUUUAUCAUCUAUAUAUCAUCGCCAACCGAUACAAUAUUUCCUUCCUUUCUUUCCUCCGUCUUCUAUCUGGUUUUCAGUUUUAACCACUCUAUUGAAGUGGUGCUUGUUUGCUAUGUGUUUAACUGGGGAGGGAGAAGAUACCAAUCAUGAGAUGUGGAUAAUGUGCUACAUGUUGCUCUCAAGGUAUUUUUUAGGGGACUCUCCGUACUUACUAGAAAAUGGUCUGGUUUUUCACCCUUGUAAUGGUUUCUAAUUUUCAAAAGGCUCAUUAGUUUUCCCUCUUUUCACCCCUCCCCUUUUAGCUUAGCAUAUCAAAAUUUAAUCUUAGAACUGGUGCAAGCAUUACU